Molecule: ribosomal RNA, 1394 nt
Filed under: Enterococcus durans
Lineage: Bacteria; Bacillati; Bacillota; Bacilli; Lactobacillales; Enterococcaceae
Description: 16S ribosomal RNA
Rfam family: Bacterial small subunit ribosomal RNA
Source: RNAcentral
GAGUGGCGAACGGGUGAGUAACACGUGGGUAACCUGCCCAUCAGAAGGGGAUAACACUUGGAAACAGGUGCUAAUACCGUAUAACAAUCGAAACCGCAUGGUUUUGAUUUGAAAGGCGCUUUCGGGUGUCGCUGAUGGAUGGACCCGCGGUGCAUUAGCUAGUUGGUGAGGUAACGGCUCACCAAGGCCACGAUGCAUAGCCGACCUGAGAGGGUGAUCGGCCACAUUGGGACUGAGACACGGCCCAAACUCCUACGGGAGGCAGCAGUAGGGAAUCUUCGGCAAUGGACGAAAGUCUGACCGAGCAACGCCGCGUGAGUGAAGAAGGUUUUCGGAUCGUAAAACUCUGUUGUUAGAGAAGAACAAGGAUGAGAGUAACUGUUCAUCCCUUGACGGUAUCUAACCAGAAAGCCACGGCUAACUACGUGCCAGCAGCCGCGGUAAUACGUAGGUGGCAAGCGUUGUCCGGAUUUAUUGGGCGUAAAGCGAGCGCAGGCGGUUUCUUAAGUCUGAUGUGAAAGCCCCCGGCUCAACCGGGGAGGGUCAUUGGAAACUGGGAGACUUGAGUGCAGAAGAGGAGAGUGGAAUUCCAUGUGUAGCGGUGAAAUGCGUAGAUAUAUGGAGGAACACCAGUGGCGAAGGCGGCUCUCUGGUCUGUAACUGACGCUGAGGCUCGAAAGCGUGGGGAGCAAACAGGAUUAGAUACCCUGGUAGUCCACGCCGUAAACGAUGAGUGCUAAGUGUUGGAGGGUUUCCGCCCUUCAGUGCUGCAGCUAACGCAUUAAGCACUCCGCCUGGGGAGUACGACCGCAAGGUUGAAACUCAAAGGAAUUGACGGGGGCCCGCACAAGCGGUGGAGCAUGUGGUUUAAUUCGAAGCAACGCGAAGAACCUUACCAGGUCUUGACAUCCUUUGACCACUCUAGAGAUAGAGCUUCCCCUUCGGGGGCAAAGUGACAGGUGGUGCAUGGUUGUCGUCAGCUCGUGUCGUGAGAUGUUGGGUUAAGUCCCGCAACGAGCGCAACCCUUAUUGUUAGUUGCCAUCAUUUAGUUGGGCACUCUAGCAAGACUGCCGGUGACAAACCGGAGGAAGGUGGGGAUGACGUCAAAUCAUCAUGCCCCUUAUGACCUGGGCUACACACGUGCUACAAUGGGAAGUACAACGAGUCGCGAAGUCGCGAGGCUAAGCUAAUCUCUUAAAGCUUCUCUCAGUUCGGAUUGUAGGCUGCAACUCGCCUACAUGAAGCCGGAAUCGCUAGUAAUCGCGGAUCAGCACGCCGCGGUGAAUACGUUCCCGGGCCUUGUACACACCGCCCGUCACACCACGAGAGUUUGUAACACCCGAAGUCGGUGAGGUAACCUUUUGGAGCCAGCCGCCUAAGGUGGGAUAGAUGA